GUGGGCUGGGCCUUUCCUGUCGGCGCGCGGUUUCAGACGGCAUUAAUGGAGACAGCCAAUUCCCAUUUGUCAUUGAGUAAAAUGAGCUGCUGAUCAGUUGAAAGUCUAGUAUUCCAUGUACGGUGUUGAAGAAAAUUUCACCAGACCAUGUUAAGAAGGCACUAUAUAUUCAAGGCUAUUGCCCUAGGGGAGAGAGACCAGAACUAAGUCUGAACUCAGCUCCACUGAAGCAGAGUAUGUAAGGAAGAAAGAGAAUGGGAAAGAAAGGAAAUUGUGAAGGCUGGUGAUGGCUAAGCGAUGGUGUUACAGGACCUGCACCUUUCACUGCCUGCGUCAUUUGCUGCACACCAGUGUCUGGCUCCUUGAGACCUAACAAUCAAGCUGACCAUUUGGGAAUCUUUCAAUGAAGAAUUCAAAGCCUGAUGGUAAGAUGAAGACAAGAUGCAAAAAAAGGAAGAAAGUAUCAAAGAACUUGGAACAGAAUUCCAGUCAAGUUGGACCCAGGAGGAUGCCCCCUUGGCUUGCUCAUCAAUUCCACUACCUCCUCUACCACAUCUACAGUCAGAUGGCAGAACAGCACCACCAUCUCCUCUGUCAGUGCCAUCUCUAUCCAGAGGAGUUGCUCCUUCUUUUCCAACUCCUUACAUGGAAUAAGAGGUGUCAUCACCACCACCUUUGAUGGGUGGGCAUCUCAAUGAUCACCACCUGCUCUAACAUAAAAUGAAGCAGAAAUAAACAAAUAAACCUGAAUUCACGGGAUUGCUUUUGGACUCCAUGACUUGAUUAUGAAGAGAAUCAGUAGGUCAAAGGCAAAACUGAGGUCUUUGGCAUCUUUUUUCCACUUGUGAUCAUUAAUAGAGAAUAAGUACAUAGCUAUGCAUAUGUAUAGUGUAAUUUUAGAGAAUAUGACUGCUACUCAUUUUUUUUCUUGUGAGAUCAUACUUUUAUAUUCACCAUUCAGAAUAAACUAAUUGAAUAAACAUAGAGAAUAUGAAAUUAAUAUAGAAAGUUAAGGGGAAUAAACAAAGUGUUGUAUGGACAAUUGUAUUAAUUUCCUAAGGCUGCCAUAAUAAAUUACUACAAAUGGAUGACUUAAAACAACAAAAAUCUAUUCUCUCACAGUUUUGGAGGCCAGAAGUCUGAAAUCCAGGUGUUGGCAGGGCCACACUCCUUGUGGAGGCUCUAGGGGCAAUCCAUUCCUUUUC
Long non-coding RNA from Choloepus didactylus (southern two-toed sloth), 1205 nucleotides. RefSeq lists it as uncharacterized. The record is from RefSeq and is a predicted model, not a curated record. The transcript has 6 exons. NCBI's taxonomy places the organism in Eukaryota, Metazoa, Chordata, Mammalia, Pilosa, Megalonychidae.